Molecule: ribosomal RNA, 453 nt
Filed under: uncultured bacterium
Lineage: Bacteria
Description: bacterial SSU rRNA
Rfam family: Bacterial small subunit ribosomal RNA
Source: RNAcentral
AGAGUUUGAUCCUGGCUCAGGAUGAACGCUGGCGGCGUGCCUAAGACAUGCAAGUCGAGUGGGUUUAGACCCACGGCGAACGGGUGAGUAAUACCUAGGAACUUUCUUUAAGUGGAGGAUAACCAGCCGAAAGGUUGGAUAAUACUUCAUGUGGCAGCAAUGCUAAAGUCGUAAGACGCUAAAGAAGCGGCCUGGGCACCAUCAGCUAGUUGGUAAGGUAAAGGCUUACCAAGGCUAUGACGGUUAGGGGCCCCGAGAGGGGGAAACCUCCACACUGGAACUGCGACACGGUCCAGACUCCUACGGGAGGCAGCAGUUUGGAAUUUUGGACAAUGGGCGAAAGCCUGAUCCAGCGACGCCGCGUGGACGAUGAAGGCCUUCGGGUUGUAAAGUCCUUUUGUUAGGGAAGAAUUUUUGACUGUACCUAGCGAAUAAGAGGUUGCUAACUCUGUG